This 67-nucleotide transfer RNA is filed under the name Sicista concolor (Chinese birch mouse). Its description in RNAcentral is "tRNA-Asp". Lineage: Eukaryota; Metazoa; Chordata; Mammalia; Rodentia; Dipodidae. The record is from RNAcentral.
GAGUAUUAGUAAAAAUAUUACAUAACUUUGUCAAAGUUAAAUUACAGAAAAACUCUGUGUACUCCUA